Rhododendron vialii is the source of this 4598-nucleotide long non-coding RNA. RefSeq lists it as uncharacterized. Lineage: Eukaryota; Viridiplantae; Streptophyta; Magnoliopsida; Ericales; Ericaceae. The transcript has 3 exons. The record is from RefSeq and is a predicted model, not a curated record.
CCAAAAACGACGUCGCCCGUACUCGUCGGGACUUCGCACUUUGGCCCUGCGAAGUCCCUUGAAACAAGAAUUUGACAAAUUGUGAGCUUAUUAGGGUUCAUUUUUACGAUCCAAAAUGUUUAUAUUGAAGAUAUUUUGAUGAAGACAAACCUGGAAGCAGAUUUCAUGAAUCGAAUUCUUUUUGAUAUAUAAUCGGAGAUGAUAAGUGCCAAUUUGUUUUUGUGAAAAUAAACUUGGCUGUACUGUAUCAAACCCAUUUCUACAAAGAGAAAGUUUGUUUUGAAUUUGUCAAAUUGUGAUCUCGUUUCGAUUUGUCUCCAGGAUCGAAAUCGCUCAACUUGUAGAGCUUGUCAAGAAGAUCCAUGGUGUCAUAGAUAAUAUGAAUCUAAUGCUGAAUGAUUCAUAAUCGAAGACGAUCAAAGUGAAUUUCUUGUUAUGAAAAUAGAUUUGGCCACACUGUAUCAUUUAAGCUAAUAUACUCAACCCGACGGAGGGACUUCGUGGGACGUCGCCGACGGAGAGGUUGUCCAGCGGAGAAGGAUUCUCCCUACAUUGUAAAACAUCACUUCUAAUCUUCUAAUCCGUCAACACAAUCUGAUACCCAGAGCUUUUGCGAGCAUUUGUUUUUGCUAGAGCUUUUUAGGUUCUUAAUUAGAACGAAAAGGAUUGCUCUCAGUUCGGACUUGAUCCCUUGAAGUUACCCCUUCUUUGUGUGAACUUCCAGUUUUCCUUCUACUUACAUAGUGAAUGUGGACAUAAAGUUAUAGAAGAAAAGAGGGAGAUAAAGUCUCCCCUUUUUGAAGCUUGUUGAAGUUUCAAAGCAAGCUCGAAUAGGUUAAUACUCUGCUCGUCUUGCUUGUGAUAUAUGAAAUUUUAAACUCCUCGUGUUCGGCUCGAUUAAAACUCAUUUUAGAUGGAAGACUUGGAUUCAGUAGUAGAUCGACAUCAAUUACUGGGUAAAUGUGCUUUUCUAGAAGUAUAAUUGACAACUUGUACUUUUUUGCGACAAACAAUGGUGGAAAUGUUUCCAACUUAGGUCCACAGAUGCAGCUUACAACAAGAUCAGUACUGGAAUGCUUUCCAGACAUGGAGAUCCCGACACUCUGAUUAUCAGUCGAAAGGAAUAUCAGAUUGGUAGCGAUGGGAAUUUGCAAGGAGUCAGCCUCUUCAUAAACAUGGAACCUAAAACUAGGCAUUUGGUAAGUGAACCCCAUGAUCACUGUCUUUUGGUUCUCACACUCGAUUAAAGUGCAGCAUUGCGAAGGAGACUUUGUACACUAUGUAACGCUCAAAUAGGAGGCAAUAACAUGGAUCAUAAUGAUCAGUUUUAUGAAUGGGGUUGAAGAAUAUGCAUUUUACUUCUCCCUGACAGGGUUUGCAAGUAUGAAGCUCUUUUUUUUUGGUUGUUGGACGAGUAGUCCAUCUCGAAACACAUGCCGUUCUAUAAAUUGUUCACUUAGGAAAACAAAGAAGGAAGUUUUUAGUAUGUUAUGUUGCACAUUCGACAGAAGAGUCUUAGAAAGCAUGACACCUACGACAAUAACUUUAAGUUUUUGGAGAAUGUCAGCUACUCUCUCUCCUAUGUCUGUCUGGACAAUUUUCCGUGGUUUCCAUGAUCUUAAGCUGCCAAAUUGACUCAGUAUACUUUCUUAAAUUUUAAGGUUGUUGUCUUGUGUAGAGGCCCUAGAGGGUGGUCAGUGGUCUAGCUGCUCGUGCUGGUAUACAUGAAGGGGUUGAGUUAGUUGAGAUAAAUGGUGUGUACCAAUCACAUUGUCUCCUUGCCAGCUCAUGAAUCUGAAUAAAGUUCUCUGGUUUUAAAGGUGUUUAGCAAACCAAAAUAAGCCUUGUUUCCAUUCAAAGGGGUUGGCCUUUCUAUUUGCUGAGAAUGAGCGAUUUUAUUAUCUUGUAAUCUGACUUGGUUCGAAUUAACUGAUAGGCAUUUGUGAAACUCUCAAGUUAUAUGGCUUUUGAGAAAGUACCAUUAAAAGUUUGGUGACUGCAAUGGAUUUACAUUAUUAAGUGGCUGUCAUUAACAUCUGAAAUUUGCUAUAUUAACUAUCCCAGAUUUUCUUGAAAUUUGCAUGUUUAAAUUGGGGAAAUUGUCAACUGUUUUGUGUGUAUUACUGUGCGAGCUGUUGCGGAGCACUGGUUUUUGCUAGAGAUUUAUUAGGUUCUUAGAAUGGAAAUGAUUGGUUUCAGUUUGGACUUCAUCCCUUGAAGAUAACCUUUUUGUGUGAACUUCCAGUUUUCCUUCUACCUACAUAAUUAAUAUGAACAGGGGAGAAAAAUAUAGAAGAUAAGAGGGAGAGUAAAGACUUCACUUUUUGAAGCUCGUUAAAGUUUCAGAACCAAGCUCGAGUACGCUACUACUCGGAUCGUCUUGCUUAUAAUUUAUGAAAAGUACAAACUACUCAGAGAUCGGCUCGCGUUCGGGGUCGAUUAAGACAUGUCGGGGAUAAUGAUUAAAUUUUCUUCUCCCUAUCUCUAUUGCUCUCUCUAUCGCAAUCUCAGUUAUCGCAGUCUCAGUUUACCUUUGCACUUGAAGCUUGAUUUUCGUGAGUUAGAUGGGUUAAAGCCUGCUCAUGUGCUUAACAUGCCUUCCUAUCAUUUCAAGGAAACUAUCUUGGUGCAAGAGAAAACUCUGAAAAGAGACCUUCAUGUGGCUUCAGAUGUUGCACGUAAAGAUAUCCAUGUGGACCUAUUUGAGUCCACCAGUGCAAUUUUUUUUUUUUUAUUCUUCUUUGGUAGUGUAUUGAAUGUUACGCAUAUAUCUACUACAUAAUCAUGGCAAUCCUGAAAACUUAUUCAGCUGCCGCAAUGUUUCUUAAUAACCUCAUGUUAGGUGUACCCUUUCUUAUGUACUUGUUGGAUAACCCUUGUUGUCAUCGUAUUAUAAAACCUUGACUUACAGUAAUGAUUCGAGAUAGUUGGCAUGUGACAUAGAAAGAAAACUUUGUGCUUCUAUCUACUUUCCUCCAAUUCCAUUCCACAUCUUAUUUGGCAAUAGUUUGUUGAAUGCUAGGCAUUUAUCUUUCAGACUGACAACUUGGGAAUGUGCACCUCCUCAAGUUCCUUAUAGCUCCCAAGGUCAAACAGUACCUUUCUACCUUUCUUAGGGAAGUGUUCGGCGGUUCUUUUCUAAGGUCAUAUUCGCAUAGCUAUAUCCUGUUGCGGUUAGCCUCUGUUUCCAAAUUUGUUAGGAUGAGUCAGUAAUAUCUCUUGUUCAAUAGCAUGUCCAUCUUUAUCUUUCUCAUCUUCACAUGCCUACUUGGUCCUUUUCAAGCUUGAAUAUGAGCACAAAGCAAUUCUUUUUUCUUGUUGUAAGUAAUACUGCAGGCAACUCCAUUCAUGCUUUCCAAAGACAAGAUAGAGCUGCAGUUUGCAACAAACUGCUAAGGUAAGAUAACUACUUGUAGGUACAAAUUCUCGAACAUAGUGGUACAUUUAUUUAAAUGCCUUGAAUGCUACAUCUUUUGAGUUUGGUCACUUCUAGCAUUGCCGUUUUCAGAAUCUUGUUUCUUCUGCAUAAGUUAGAAUACGAUGCUUGAUGGAAGUUUUUUUUAUUUAAAUGCCUUGAAUGCUACAUCUUUUGACUUUGGUCACUUCUGGCAUUGCCGUUUUCAGAAUCUUGUUUCUUCUGCAUUAGUUAGAAAUACGAUGCUUGAUGGAAGUUUUUCAGCUAGUUUUUGCAUUUGAAACAUUUUUCGUUUUUUGCUGUCACUUUUGAUGGUUAAGUCUUGGUUAAGCGAAUUAAGAAGGGUAAGUGGUUAAGAACUUCACUGAUUGGUUUAAUAGGGUCAGUGAUUUAAGAAGUUCUGUCGUCUUCUUCCAUCACAUUUUCUUUUGACUGAUCUGUUCGUAUGCUUUGCUAAUCAUAUUGCUUGGUACAGUCGUUGAAGCUUGGGCUACUGCCAAGUUUGAGAAUGUAGGUCCAAGUUGGAGGCAACCGUGGUGUAAGUUGUGCUGAAGAUGAGGUUCACACCCAGCCGUACACUUGUAAAACCCUGUAUUUAUGGGACUAGUCCGACUAGUAAUUGUGAAGGAUUUUCAUUGUUGUUUAUUUUUUCCCUCUUUCUUUUCUGUUUAGCUAAUGCUUUAGGAGAGUUAUCAUAAUACAUCCAUAGCAUGAAAUGGAAAAUUCAAGAACUGACGGUGUUGCUUCUGUUUCAUGCAUGCGGUGGCAUUCUGUAGGUUUUAUGCAUUGAUAAGAGUCCAGAUGGAAAAUUCAAGGUUUCGAACGCCAACCUCCCAAAUGGAAGUAUGAGAGUCCAGACUACAAGCAGUUGGUAGCUGUAGUAAUCUUGUGUCUUGGGAUCCAGACUACAAGCAGUUGGUAGAAAAGUACUACAAAACGGUUGUAAAUCAGAAGUUCGAAUUCCACCACCAAGAAGUUAAUCACCAAAAGUCAAAGUUACGAUUCAUAAUCCCUACGUUGCUAGGAGUGUUAAAGCCUUAGCUAUCUUUUGUUUGUUAAAGCAUUAGCUAUCUUUAUAUUUGAAACAAAUAUGUAUGUAGCUUUUUCAUUUACAUUGUGGUAUUGGUCAUGAAAUGGAAGUUUCGACCUAUGAAAUGGAGAGAAUUCAGAUGACAUAAUAAUA